Molecule: long non-coding RNA, 754 nt
Organism: Pezoporus occidentalis (night parrot)
Lineage: Eukaryota; Metazoa; Chordata; Aves; Psittaciformes; Psittacidae
Exons: 3
Source: RefSeq, a predicted model, not a curated record
AAAAAUUUCUUUACUGUGAGAGUGACAGAUCGCUGGAACAGGUUGCCCAGGGGGGUUGUGGAGUCUCCUACAUCGGAGAUAUUCAAGGCCCGCCUGGACAAGUUCCUGUGUGAUGUACUCUAGGUUACCCUGCUCUUGCAGGGAGGUUGGACUAGAUGAUCUUUUGAGGUACCUUCCAACCCUUAGGAUUCUGUGAUUCUGUGAAUCUGUGAUUCUGAGUAUCUGGGAAUGGCAGGUGUCCACAAUGGGCUACAGUUAAACCAACUGAUAAGUAGGAGGACAGGAGGAUUAUUAUGUCUCUGGUGCUAACGAACCAAUUAAGCUGGUAUAAACAUCUACUGCGCGUGUUCCAAAGGUGGCCAGAAGUGAUGAAGAUUGUUGGAAGAAGUAAACGACCCUCAGAGACCACCACCACAAUUCUGUACACAUGCGGGGAACUUUCUGGAAAAUGAUGCAAUCCAUAUGUAGCCUCAUGAAUAUGUAUGUAUGCCCAGUGGCUAUAAAAGGACGGCUUGUGUGGCAACUGGGGGACACAGGUUAAGAGGAGCUAUCCCCCGUGUCUCCCAGUGCCGCAAUAAAGAAUACCUGCUUGUCAGAUUGAAAACUUUGUUGGCAAGUUUGUUCCUGGAGUUUUCUCCGAAUCACACUCCAGAUAGGAAAAGCCUCACACUCGCAGGCCCUUGUUCUCAUGGGGGACUUCAACCACCCUGACAUCUCUUGGGAGGACGGUACGGCUCGGCACAAGCAAUCCAGG